GUAGGUGGCAAGCGUUGUCCGGAAUUAUCGGGCGUAAAGCGCGCGCAGGCGGUCCUUUAAGUCUGAUGUGAAAGCCCACGGCUCAACCGUGGAGGGUCAUUGGAAACUGGGGGACUUGAGUACAGAAGAGGAAAGCGGAAUUCCAAGUGUAGCGGUGAAAUGCGUAGAGAUUUGGAGGAACACCAGUGGCGAAGGCGGCUUUCUGGUCUGUAACUGACGCUGAGGCGCGAAAGCGUGGGGAGCAAACAGGAUUAGAUACCCUGGUAGUCCACGCCGUAAACGAUGAGUGCUAAGUGUUAGGGGGUUUCCCGCCCCCCUUAGUGCUGCAGCUAACGCAUUAAGCACUCCGCCUGGGGAGUACGGCCGCAAGGCUG
This 374-nucleotide ribosomal RNA is filed under the name uncultured organism. Its description in RNAcentral is "partial 16S ribosomal RNA". It matches the Rfam family "Bacterial small subunit ribosomal RNA", at positions 527 to 896 of the family's 1533-position model. The record is from RNAcentral.